AACUGGUGAGUAACACGUGGGUAACCUGCCCAGAAGCGGGGGAUAACACUUGGAAACGGGUGCUAAUACCGCAUAAUAACAGAAACCGCAUGGUUUCUGUUUGAAAGAUGGUUUCGGCUAUCACUUCUGGAUGGACCCGCGGCGUAUUAGCUAGUUGGUGGAGUAAUGGUUCACCAAGGCAAUGAUACGUAGCCGACCUGAGAGGGUAAUCGGCCACAUUGGGACUGAGACACGGCCCAAACUCCUACGGGAGGCAGCAGUAGGGAAUCUUCCACAAUGGACGAAAGUCUGAUGGAGCAACGCCGCGUGAGUGAAGAAGGGUUUCGGCUCGUAAAACUCUGUUGUUGAAGAAGAACACACCUGAGAGUAACUGUUCAGGUGUUGACGGUAUUUAACCAGAAAGCCACGGCUAACUACGUGCCAGCAGCCGCGGUAAUACGUAGGUGGCAAGCGUUGUCCGGAUUUAUUGGGCGUAAAGCGAGCGCAGGCGGUUUCUUAAGUCUGAUGUGAAAGCCUUCGGCUUAACCGGAGAAGUGCAUCGGAAACUGGGAGACUUGAGUGCAGAAGAGGACAGUGGAACUCCAUGUGUAGCGGUGAAAUGCGUAGAUAUAUGGAAGAACACCAGUGGCGAAGGCGGCUGUCUGGUCUGUAACUGACGCUGAGGCUCGAAAGCAUGGGUAGCGAAC
This 686-nucleotide ribosomal RNA is filed under the name uncultured bacterium. RNAcentral describes it as "bacterial SSU rRNA". It matches the Rfam family "Bacterial small subunit ribosomal RNA", at positions 101 to 773 of the family's 1533-position model. The record is from RNAcentral.